GACGAACGCUGGCGGCGUGCUAAACACAUGCAAGUCGAACGGAAAGGCCCUUCGGGGUACUCGAGUGGCGAACGGGUGAGUAACACGUGGGUGAUCUGCCCUGCACUUUGGGAUAAGCCUGGGAAACUGGGUCUAAUACCGAAUAGGACCACGCGCUUCAUGGUGUGUGGUGGAAAGCUUUUGCGGUGUGGGAUGGGCCCGCGGCCUAUCAGCUUGUUGGUGGGGUAAUGGCCUACCAAGGCGACGACGGGUAGCCGGCCUGAGAGGGUGACCGGCCACACUGGGACUGAGAUACGGCCCAGACUCCUACGGGAGGCAGCAGUGGGGAAUAUUGCACAAUGGGCGCAAGCCUGAUGCAGCGACGCCGCGUGAGGGAUGACGGCCUUCGGGUUGUAAACCUCUUUCACCAGGGACGAAGCGUAAGUGACGGUACCUGGAGAAGAAGCACCGGCCAACUACGUG
This 462-nucleotide ribosomal RNA is filed under the name uncultured bacterium. Its description in RNAcentral is "partial 16S ribosomal RNA". It matches the Rfam family "Bacterial small subunit ribosomal RNA", at positions 28 to 507 of the family's 1533-position model. The record is from RNAcentral.